AAGUCGUAACAAGGUUUCCGUAGGUGAACCUGCGGAAGGAUCAUCAGCGAGGGUUGCGAAUCCACGAGCGUGUGAACCGAGUAUGAGAGGGCAAAGGGGUGGUGUGGUCAGCCGACGCAAGUCGGCGCGGUGGGCCCUCUGCGGGUCAGCCGACGCAAGUCGGCGCAGAGUUCUGGGACGCAGCGUCCUGAGGCGCCUGCCGCCUGCACCGCCCGCCCGCAUUCUAUUUCCGAGCAUUGGUCACGAAUAAAAGAGUACAGAGUCUUGACUACAUAUAGUUAACACAACUUUCAACAAUGGAUCUCUUGGCUCUC
This 314-nucleotide unclassified non-coding RNA is filed under the name fungal sp. Its description in RNAcentral is "partial internal transcribed spacer region". The stretch from base 1 to 46 matches the Rfam family "Eukaryotic small subunit ribosomal RNA", at positions 1786 to 1831 of the family's 1831-position model. Lineage: Eukaryota; Fungi. The record is from RNAcentral.